RNAcentral lists this ribosomal RNA (403 nucleotides) under uncultured bacterium. Its description in RNAcentral is "partial 16S ribosomal RNA". It matches the Rfam family "Bacterial small subunit ribosomal RNA", at positions 28 to 526 of the family's 1533-position model. The record is from RNAcentral.
GACGAACGCUGGCGGCGUGCCUAAUACAUGCAAGUCGAACGCAGUGGGGACGGGUGAGUAACACGUGGGUAACCUCCCAUCAGAGGGGAUAACACUUGGAAACAGGUGCUAAACCGAUACUGAUGGAUGAACUAGCGGUGCAUUAGGUAGUUGGUGAGGUAACGGAUCACCAAGGCCACGAUGCAUAGCGGACGUGAGAGGAGGGUAGGCCACACUGGGACUGAGACACGGCCCAGACUCAUACGGGAGGCAGGAGUAUGGAAUCUUCGGCAAUGGACGAAAGUCUGACCGAGCCACGCCGCGUGGGUGAAGAAGGUUUUCGGAUAGUAAAACUCUGUUGUUAGAGAAGCGGUAUCUAACCAGAAAGCCACGGCUAACUCCGUGCCAGCAGCCGCGGUAAUUC